CACCGGGCAAACCCCGUACCUUCCCAGCAUCGGCUCAGCAACCCACGUGCAUCCAGGCCGGUCAAUGUCAUUGAGUCACCUCCGCGCCUUGGCCACCCUGGAGUCCCGAGAAUCCGAAGUUCCAGACAAAUGCCCAAACUACAUUCCUGCAUGUUCGAAAGCGUAAAUUGCAAAGCACAAAUCCAGGAAUAUUUUAAAGCAAAU
This 204-nucleotide long non-coding RNA is filed under the name Homo sapiens (human). Its description in RNAcentral is "HSALNT0205996". The record is from RNAcentral. Lineage: Eukaryota; Metazoa; Chordata; Mammalia; Primates; Hominidae.